AGCGGCGGACGGGUGAGUAACGCGUGGGAAUGUGGCCCUUUGGUACGGAACAACUGAGGGAAACUUCAGCUAAUACCGUAUGUGCCCUUCGGGGAAAGAUUUAUCGCCAUUGGAGCAGCCCGCGUUGGAUUAGGUAGUUGGUGAGGUAAAGGCUCACCAAGCCUACGAUCCAUAGCUGGUCUGAGAGGAUGAUCAGCCACACUGGGACUGAGACACGGCCCAG
Molecule: ribosomal RNA, 223 nt
Filed under: uncultured bacterium
Lineage: Bacteria
Description: partial 16S ribosomal RNA
Rfam family: Bacterial small subunit ribosomal RNA
Source: RNAcentral